UACGUAGGGUGCAAGCGUUGUCCGGAAUUAUUGGGCGUAAAGAGCUCGUAGGCGGUUUGUCGCGUCUGCUGUGAAAACUCGGGGCUUAACUCCGGGCCUGCAGUGGGUACGGGCAGACUAGAGUGCGGUAGGGGAGACUGGAAUUCCUGGUGUAGCGGUGAAAUGCGCAGAUAUCAGGAGGAACACCGGUGGCGAAGGCGGCUCUCUGGGACGGUACUGACGCUGAGACGCGAAAGCGUGGGGAGCGAACAGG
Molecule: ribosomal RNA, 253 nt
Filed under: uncultured bacterium
Lineage: Bacteria
Description: partial 16S ribosomal RNA
Rfam family: Bacterial small subunit ribosomal RNA
Source: RNAcentral